AUUGAACGCUGGCGGAAUGCUUUACACAUGCAAGUCGAACGGCAGCACGGGGGCAACCCUGGUGGCGAGUGGCGAACGGGUGAGUAAUACAUCGGAACGUGCCCAGUCGUGGGGGAUAACGCAGCGAAAGCUGUGCUAAUACCGCAUACGAUCUAUGGAUGAAAGCGGGGGACCGUAAGGCCUCGCGCGAUUGGAGCGGCCGAUGGCAGAUUAGGUAGGUGGUGGGGUAAAGGCUCACCAAGCCGACGAUCUGUAGCUGGUCUGAGAGGACGACCAGCCACACUGGGACUGGGACACGGCCCAGACUCCUACGGGAGGCAGCAGUGGGGAAUUUUGGACAAUGGGCGCAAGCCUGAUCCAGCCAUUCCGCGUGCAGGAUGAAGGCCCUCGGGUUGUAAACUGCUUUUGUACGGAACGAAAAGCCUUCUUCUAAUACAGGAGGGUCAUGACGGUACCGUAAGAAUAAGCACCGGCUAACUACGUGCCAGCCGCCGCCGUAA
Molecule: ribosomal RNA, 500 nt
Filed under: uncultured bacterium
Lineage: Bacteria
Description: partial 16S ribosomal RNA
Rfam family: Bacterial small subunit ribosomal RNA
Source: RNAcentral